RNAcentral lists this long non-coding RNA (224 nucleotides) under Elaeis guineensis (African oil palm). RNAcentral's name for it is "long non-coding RNA (EGUI_LNC032236)". Lineage: Eukaryota; Viridiplantae; Streptophyta; Magnoliopsida; Arecales; Arecaceae. The record is from RNAcentral.
UGGUGGGAUAUUUAUGCUCGAUCACAAGCGAGCUUGAGACAUGACAACUGUUCGAAAUCCUUAACAAGAACUCCCUACAUCACAUGUUUGUCGCUUAUAGAUACACUCCCUUGUCUAGACCUAAAAGAGAUAGAAUUUAUGAAGUAAGCAAUUCUAUGGACAUCCAUAGUAAGAUGGAUGAACUAUCAUAGAAACUCGACUGACUACUACAGGUCGGGUAUACC